This is a long non-coding RNA of Tympanuchus pallidicinctus (lesser prairie-chicken), 6321 nucleotides long. RefSeq lists it as uncharacterized. Lineage: Eukaryota; Metazoa; Chordata; Aves; Galliformes; Phasianidae. The transcript is spliced from 3 exons. The record is from RefSeq and is a predicted model, not a curated record.
CUCAGCUCAUCCUUGUUCUGCUGCUUUGAUUUGAAGAAGGUGCCCUAAAGCUUGCAUAUGUUAUUUAACAGCAUUGGUCAGUAUUGGAAAAAAGUGUUUUUCUACGGGAAUGUUGCCUAAAUAACAUGUAAUUUGUAGCUCACUCUCAGAAAGAGACGUUUCCAUGGUUUUUGGAACGUAGAAACCAUUCAAUAUCAAAAUAAAAUGUUUUUGUGACCCUUUUCUCUCUAUUCCAGAUGAAAACAUAAAUCUGGGUGAGAGGAACGAGGGAAAUGCCCUCUGGUGCCUUUGCUUACUGGAGUUAUUUGUGGCUUUUCCCCAGCAGGACAGUCAGGCACGGCCCCCAAACACUGCUAUGUGACCCCAAUUAAAUGUGCUUACUUAGGGGAUAUUACUGAGCAGACCCUGGCCUAGUUUAAAGAAGUUCUGUCAUGCAGCAGAAUGGCUCAUUGGUUUCUUAUGGCAGUGGAUGUGGGUGCUGAAAGAACACUUACUGAAGCUUUUGGGAGCCUGUCUUAUCUGAUCAUGGGCAGAAGACUAUGAACACAGACCUCUCUGACCAAAGAACAGAAAGCUGCUGGAGCAUCGUGACCUUACCUGACACAAGGUUCUCCUUCCAGGAUCUGCCACACUCCCCAUGACAUUGGAACAGCUAAAGUGUCCCAAAGACAAGGCUUUGUCAUCAACUUUUUGCUAUACUUCCUUCACCAGACAACCUAAAUGCAAUUUUUGAACAUCAGUUUGCUCAGUAUCAUACAGUGCCAAGACUAUUAUCCUCAGGGAACAGAUGGAAAAAACGGAGAGAAAGGAGAUGAGGUGGGUUGCUUCUGGUCAUAUAGACAUAAAUUAAAUAGUAGCACAGUUGGGAAAGGACGCGGUUUCCUCCCAAGCAGUGUUUAUAGGAAAAAGUAUAUACCAGUGAUCUGAAUUCAGCUCUCAGUUAUUUCUUAUUAUGCCAGUACAGUGAAUGUUUUGUCCCCAGGUCCCUAGAGAAUAAGAAAAUGCACAUUUUUAGGUCACAGAACACAUGACUAAAAUUUACCCAAACUUUCUGACAACUCCAAGGUUGGUGUGAAUGAAAAUACUUCCUAUGAUCACAUCUGUGUUUUGGUGAAUUAUAAUCCAGGUUUGAAUCAGUGUUUUCUUCAUUGCUUACAUUCCUAGUAAGGAUUCAUUAGAUGAGGAAAUAGACCAUUACAUCACAAUGGAUCAUUUUUAAACACGCCUUCCCUCUGUUCUGUUUUUUGUUUGUUUGUAAUUGUUCUGUUGAGAAUAUCUGCCUUGUGACAAGCAAAGCGGUCAGCUCUCAACAAGCAGUGAAAUGAAUAUCAAUCCAAGGCAAAGCAAAUUGGGAAGAAGUUCCAGAGAGUGGUGCUAUUUGAAAUAAGCUAAAGUAUUAUUUUGAAAGCUUGCAUGGAAGAAUGGAGGUUUGCCAACUAUUACAAUUGGACUUCAGAGUAACUGCUGAGUGGGUAAUUAUUCCCCCAGGAACACAGGAGUCUGGACAAAUGUAAGAGGGGAAAAAAAAAGUAUAUGAAGAAUUAAUGUUAGAAAACAAGCUAGAACAUUAGUCACAAGAGGGAUAUAACUCAACAUUCAUUUAAUGUUUAUUUCAGUGAUGAACAGAAACGUUGUUCUUAACCCCUGUGCUGAAGCAGGAAAUAGGAGAUGUCUCUCAAGGCAGCUGGAACUGCUUCGUUGAUUUCAUCUCUUUGAUAAGAUGGUGGGAGGUGGGAGGGCAGAUAAAUGUCCUGAACAUACUGCAAACCCAGCAAACAGGCUUUGUGGGAAAAGAACCCACUUGUGGAACUUAUUGGGGUACUAUGUGAUGUCUGACAUGGUCUUCAGUGAUUCCCCAACAUGAAAAAAAGAGAGAACUGCCAAGGUUUGAAAGAUGAAGCCCCCCCUACCCACAAUUACUCACUCAUGGUCUCUCUGCAGAGCAUGGUGUCACUUUCUCCUGUGUUGAGCAGCACCUCAGCAACAUGAGGGGACUCAGCUCUUGAUGAUGGCCUUAAGUUGCACCAAGGGGAGGUUCAGUUUGGGAAGUAGGAAAACUUUCUUGCAGAAAGCAUGGUAAUAGGCUGCCCAGGGAAGUGGUGGAGUCACUGUCCCUGGAGGUGUUCAAGCAACUUGAAGAUGUGGCACUGAGGAACGUGGCUAGUUGUAUGGUGGGGAUGGGUUGACAUUUGGGCAUAGUAAUCUUACUGGUCUUUUCCAGUGUGUGCAUGGUUCUAUGACACGGUGGAGGAGUUUUGCCUGCCAUGUUGCUGGGCUUACAAGGACAUGGUGAAGCAUAAGGACAAAGAAAACUCAAAGUGUGAGAAAAUUUUUGAGGUUAAAUAGUGCACAUGAGGUUGGUUCUGUCCUUCCAGAGCUCCUGUUUCAUAAUCCUACACUGCAACUAUUGAACUAUAGUCUUACUUACAGGCUGACCACACUCGUCUUUUGUGGUUCACUGCUCCCCUUAUUAUCUUAACAGCAGCAAUUUCCUAACCAGUCCUCUUCCUAAAACAAGACUAGUGUUGCUUUGGAUGUUUGGUGUUUGGGACAAAGAAGAAUCUCCUUGCUGGGCUCUCACCAUGUUCUUGGCCGAGUGAUGGGCUCUCAUGUGCCUUUUUGCACUUGUCCCGUGUCAGUGUUGCAUUUCUGACCUGUCACUGCUGUGACCUGAGCGAAGGUUACCAGUGUUUUUGUGCAGGCUUUGUGUUUACUAUUUAAGGUGAGAGAGAGGCUCUGGAUUCUGCUGGUUGGGUCAUCUUCUUGGUUUCCCAAUUCAAUGCAAAUGGACAGGCAGGGCAGCUCUUCCUUGAGAACAUUCACAUUCUUUUGAGAGAUGUGCCAAUUUCUGGCAGACUCGGUGUUGGCAACACAUGAUGGAUACAACACAGCCAUCGUUUUUCAUUUUUCUAAACACUGUCUUCAAAAUGACCAUCUUCUCUCACCACCAUCUGCUGCCCAGAGUCCCUAGCACAAGGAUCCUGCACAAACACACCCAGCUCUGCGUAUUCCUUCCAGGAGAGGGCAGGGGAAUACAGCUUAUUGCAGAUCUGCUCCUGAACCACAGCCAGGAUUACUCAUGGCCCAGAUCUUCCUGUAUGUCCUCCAGUCUAUUUUGGUUUUUUAAACGCAGUAGAGGUAGGUGCUGAAUCUCAAAGUGAAUCAGUGGAUUUUGUCACAUUGACAGACCUGCCUGUUCCUGAGCCAUCUUCAGGAGGGACAACUUGAACCGGGCUGCUCUGCUUGCUCUGGAACCUCUAGGAGCUGCAGGAGGUGGUCUGAUUCCCCGGUCCAUUCAGCAUAUCAGUAGGUGUAGCACUUCUCUUUAGGUGUGUUUGACCAUAUAUUAAAAUGCAGGUCUGCAUAGAAAGCCAAGUUUGGAAGUGGACCUAGUUAAACAUAGCCUGGGAAAAUAACAGCCAGAAGUCAGCUAAUGUUCUCUCUCAGUAUCUUAAUGAACAGAAAGUUUGGGAGAAAAUCAGAAACUCUGCUCAGCUCCCCACUGUCUUUAAUAUUCCAAAGAGCAUUAACAUUAAAAAAAAAAAAAAAAAAAAAAAAGCCUAGAAUGAGUUUCUUCUAUCUUAUCUCCCUCUAGACCUAUAAUUCUGACUUAAAAAGAAAACAUAAUUUCCAAACUAGUUAAAGGAAAACAGGAAUCAAUGAAUUGCUGUCUCUGAAGCAGAGAUGCCCUUGCAAGGCCAAAGAAAUUAAGCCCUGAGAUUGCUGUUGCCAUUUCCACCUUGUCCUGCAGAACCACAGUCAGGGAUAAACAUAUUCUUUGUGUCAAUAUUUCUGUAGUACCAAAAGAACUUGCAGUCCUUAUCUGUGAAUGUCAAGGACUGCUGAGUUAAAGUGCUCACAGUGCUACUGCACUUUGACAGGCUUGGGUGCUCCCCUUGCUCCCUGCAAUGGGGCUGAAAGAUGCAGGACAGCGGGGUCCAGGCACUGUGUUGUGGCAUUAAGUGAGAUCCAUCUGUUGACGGAUUGAAGUCCUCAGUUUUUUUUCUCCUGAUUAUUUUUGUUUCUCUCAUUGGAAAAGAGCAACGUCAAUCUUUACAUAGAAGUGUGCAAGCAAUCAAUGCAGCCCGACUAACCCUUGUUCUGCCAAGUGAUCUUGCCUCAUUACUAACGGUUUGCUGGUGCAGAACUACAGCAGUUGACCUCUAAGGCAGCACAGUGCUUACCUGUGCGGCACAAUCUCUCCUUUUGCCCAUGUUCAAAUCUUCCUUUCCUUCCACCCUACUCAGAAAUGGGAAAUCAUUUGUAACACAAUAAUGAGCAAAUUACAGAAGAUGGGAAAACUUGAGGCAGGAAAAAUGAGCCUUGGGACAGCCACAGAUGGGAAGGCAAUGUGUGGGCAGACAUUCCUUCUCCCACCUUUAUCAGUUUUGUGCAUAACAGCUUGGGAUCAACAUCAGCCUGCAGUUUCUUUUUUGACUUGAUAAUGCUUUGCUAUUAUUAUCUCCAGGAAAAUGUUAAAAGGCUCCAAUGCUGAGCUGUGUUUGCCUUUCCUGAGUGGAUCUUUAGCACACAGUUAUGAGACAAAGGACAAUGAAAAGUCCCUUAACCUCAUCUAGGCCCUGCAUUUGUUGGGCAGAGGAAUGCCACAGAGGCUGUCUGAGCAGGAGAACCAGUCUGACCGAAAUUCCCUCCUGAAAGGUGGCAAAGAGAAAAUGGAAAAUCCCCAGGCAGGAUCAAAGGACAGAGGUAAACAGAUUUUAAAAGGACUCUUGGUGAAGAGAUGAACAGGGAAGGAAGUGUCUUAAUGCACAAAAGGUGUGAGAUGGCGAGAGGACAAAUGCAUCUUACAGCAUGGAGCAGGGGUCAGUUUUGCUGCAGUACCAAAUGAAGCCAUUGAGCAGAAGAAAGCUGAUCCAAAGCCAUUGGUGACAGCAGCAUGGAUCUCUCUAACCCUGACCUGACAGCCUGCCCCAGGCCAGCAGUCAUUGCACCAAGAGUUGGCCGUCAGAAGUGACCAGAAGUCAUUGUAUUGAUGGAGAUAUGUGCAUUUCUUCUGCUGUUAAGCAAAACCUCACAGGGAUUCCGACACCAAGAGCAAAGCUCAGCUAUGUGCCAAUUGCUUUCACUGUCAUGGAGCUUCAAGGAAUCGAUCAGAAGAUCAGUUCACAGCUUGAGAGGUGCAUGGCAUUGCCAUUGUCGCAUGUAAAUCUCAACUUUGGUUUACGCCCAGAAGUGCAUCUAUGGACCCCAGAACCAUGGCUGUGGGUUGAGGCCAUACAACAACCUCAGUGUGAUCAUCCUGGGAAAGAAAACUCCUCAGAUAAAAUCUCAGCUCAGAAAAGGUGCUGUAGAGGAUGAAGCUGUGGACAUCCUCCACAAAGGAUGACCUCAGAUCUGGGCUCCAAGCAACACCAACUUGAGCAUUUUUUCUCAUUAUUUUCUGUUGCACUGUAGUGAGUUUGCACAGGAGUGAAAUUCUUUAUGCUGAAAUUAAACCUCAGAACUCAUGCUGUCGUAUAUUGUAUUUGUUUGGUUUCAGCGUGUCCUUUGUCUGUCUAGAAUUUAUGCCUGGGCAGAAAAAGCGGACUUUGGAUGUUUGUCCAGGAUGUCCUGCUGUCCAGUAGCCUGGUCAGAGCAGGAACAUCUGCGAGACUGCUGAACACCCAGAGGUGCCAUAGGCACCACACAGAUGCGCAAGGACUUUCCUGGAGUUUCCCAGCACAGCAAAUCCCACGCAUGUGGCAGAGGGCACCUGCACACGUGUAAGAAUGUUGAUGCAUCCAGAACGUGUCACACAGUGCACAAGCAAGCUCAAGUCAGAGGCUCAUCCUGGAUGCUGGGGACUCAUUUUCUCUGUGUGUUGCCUACUUGCAUAUUUUUUUUUUCCCCAGGAAAAUCUUGGAGAACUACAGAACCCCUAGUUACACGUGUGCUCAUUUCCAUUGCAUUUUGCUUCCUAGUGAUUGCUAUUGCCUAGUAUUAAAUGGAUACAGUGCUCUGCAGGGUUUUGCACUGUGGCUGAAGUUACUCAUCCUAUGAACCAGCACAGAUGGGCUCAGCCUCACCAGUUUGUUACCUGGUUUAACAGGUUUCAACCCAUCCCUCAAAGUGACUCGUCCAUAGCAGGUAAAGCCACGGGUCCCUCCACUGCCUCUGCGUGCAGCUGUAUACUGGCACAAGGAAAGGCGGAUGGACAUCUCAUCUCAGCAGCUGCACGCAUCUGGGUCUGCCAGAGCCCUCUGCACACUUCAGCUUUUGUGUAACAACAGAAUGCAGCCAGCCCUGCAUGGUGCUGGUGGGGAAACGGAAAGGAUUUGGCCUCGUGAAGUGAAAGCAGCUUGAAAAGCAGAACUGGGGCGU